GCGACUAAGCGUACACGGUGGAUGCCCUGGCAGUCAGAGGCGAUGAAGGACGUGCUAAUCUGCGAUAAGCGUCGGUAAGGUGAUAUGAACCGUUAUAACCGGCGAUUUCCGAAUGGGGAAACCCAGUGUGUUUCGACACACUAUCAUUAACUGAAUCCAUAGGUUAAUGAGGCGAACCGGGGGAACUGAAACAUCUAAGUACCCCGAGGAAAAGAAAUCAACCGAGAUUCCCCCAG
RNAcentral lists this ribosomal RNA (236 nucleotides) under Escherichia coli. Its description in RNAcentral is "partial 23S ribosomal RNA". It matches the Rfam family "Bacterial large subunit ribosomal RNA", at positions 1 to 243 of the family's 2925-position model. The record is from RNAcentral. Lineage: Bacteria; Pseudomonadati; Pseudomonadota; Gammaproteobacteria; Enterobacterales; Enterobacteriaceae.